Molecule: long non-coding RNA, 1197 nt
Filed under: Eucalyptus grandis
Lineage: Eukaryota; Viridiplantae; Streptophyta; Magnoliopsida; Myrtales; Myrtaceae
Description: long non-coding RNA (EGRA_LNC002345)
Source: RNAcentral
GAAGAUCCAAUUUUUUGGCUUAUAAAAGGCACCGCGUACGGACAAAGUUGAAAAAAGGAGGCCACGCAUUUGAGACAUUCGGUCAUAUCGAAGGGGAACAAAUUCAGAGAGAAAAGCACGAGAGAAGGGGGUCCUUUCCGUCGGUAAAAAAAAGCAAAGGGUGAAAAAGUGAGUGGAGAGAGGAAAAGUAGAAAAAAAGAGAAAAAAGAAAAGAAAAGCCCCCCCUUGCGCGACUGUUCAUCUUCCCCGCAGGGGGGGGGCCUUCGCCGCCCCUGUCGCCGUCGAACCCCGCCGUCGCCGUCGUCGAUCUCCGUCCGCGAGCGCUCGAGCCGCGAGCCCCGACGACCUGCGCCGCCCCGACGCUGAGCCCCCGGAGCCUCGACGACACGCCGCCGCCUGCUCUGGCCCGCGACCCGCCGCCUCCGCCUCACCUCUGCCUGCGCCUGCAACAGGAAGCCCCCGGACGCCGCGCCAAUCCCUGCCGUUGCAACCCUCCUCUGCAGAUUUGUCUCCGCCGUCAGAUCCCAAGCCACCGGUGACCUAGAGCCGCAGCUGAGCCGAGAUCCAGCCGCUGGAGUCCCUCCGCCUGCAAAUCCGAGGUCCCCGACGACAGAAGGCCCGAACCCAGCUCGAGGCUUCCCUUUCACCGGUGCCGAGCCUCGUUGAAGACCCACAUCUGACGCUGCCCUUGCUCCUCGCCGCGACGCUCGCCCCCGAUCCGGUUCUCUCACUGGACGCCGCGCCCAACAGCUCGAUCCAGACGCCGGAGCUCCUCAUCGCAGCCACCAGAGGCCUCCCGCCGUCCCUGCAGCGCCCCGCCGGCUGAAGCCCGUGAUCCGAGCGCCCCGACGCAGCCCCCGCGACGCAGGCCCGUGCCGCCCCGACGCCGCCUCCGCUUCGCCUCCAGCCCGAGCAGACCCGCGACGCUCCCUGCUGCCUCGCUGCCGACACGCCGCUCCGGAGCCUCGCCGGAACCCUAGCCAGUGAUCCCCCCCUCGCCGGACCGGCCACAGCUUUGUUUUUCUUUUUCUUUUUAAGAAAAAAAAAGAAAAGAAAAGAAAAAAAAGAGAAAAACAAAAGAAAAUUUAGGUAUUUUCUUUAUCUUAUUUUUGUUUUAUUAUUUUUGCUAUUUUAUUUUAUCUUUUUUUAGUGUAAUUAUUCAUUUAAUGUGAAAUUGAAAUUCCAUGAUAUGAAAUU